RNAcentral lists this microRNA precursor (85 nucleotides) under Cricetulus griseus (Chinese hamster). RNAcentral describes it as "microRNA cgr-mir-34a precursor". Its record names the gene cgr-mir-34a. It matches the Rfam family "mir-34 microRNA precursor family". From Rfam's summary of the family: Human mir-34a was discovered computationally and later experimentally verified. The mature sequence is excised from the 5' arm of the hairpin. RNAcentral also lists the same sequence under 1 other name. The record is from miRBase by way of RNAcentral. Lineage: Eukaryota; Metazoa; Chordata; Mammalia; Rodentia; Cricetidae.
AGUGCUUCUUUGGCAGUGUCUUAGCUGGUUGUUGUGAGUAAUAGCGAAGGAAGCAAUCAGCAAGUAUACUGCCCUAGAAGUGCUG